RNAcentral lists this ribosomal RNA (433 nucleotides) under uncultured Acholeplasma sp. RNAcentral's name for it is "bacterial SSU rRNA". It matches the Rfam family "Bacterial small subunit ribosomal RNA", at positions 956 to 1382 of the family's 1533-position model. The record is from RNAcentral. Lineage: Bacteria; Bacillati; Mycoplasmatota; Mollicutes; Acholeplasmatales; Acholeplasmataceae.
GCAACGCGAAGAACCUUUACCAGGCCUUGACAUGCAGAGAACUUUUCCAGAGAUGGAUUUGGUGCCUUCGGGAACUCUGACACAGGUGCUUGCAUGGCUGUCGUCAGCUCGUGUCGUGAGAUGUUGGGUUUAAGUCCCGUAACGAGCGCAACCCUUGUCCUUAGUUACCAGCACGUUAUGGUGGGCACUCUAAGGAGACUGCCGGUGACAAACCGGAGGAAGGUGGGGAUGACGUCAAAUCAUCAUGCCCCUUAUGACCUGGGCUACAAACGUGAUACAAUGGCUGGAACAAAGGGAUGCGAAGCAGUGAUGUGGAGCGAAACCCAUAAAAACAGUCUCAGUUCGGAUUGAAGUCUGCAACUCGACUUCAUGAAGUCGGAAUCGCUAGUAAUCGUGGAUCAGCCAAGCCGCGGUGAAUACGUUCCCGGGCCUU